Molecule: ribosomal RNA, 277 nt
Filed under: uncultured bacterium
Lineage: Bacteria
Description: partial 16S ribosomal RNA
Rfam family: Bacterial small subunit ribosomal RNA
Source: RNAcentral
GAUAAACGCUGGCGGCGUGCCUAACACAUGCAAGUCGAACGCCCUUACGCAAGUAAGGGAGUGGCGGACGGGUGAGGAACACGUGGGUGAUCUGCCUUGAGGUGAGGAAUACCGGCGAGAAAUCGCCGACAAUACCGCAUACGUUCGCAAGAACAAAGUCGCAAGACGCCUUGAGAUGAGCCUGCGUCCGAUUAGCUAGUUGGUGGGGUAAAAGCCUACCAAGGCAGCGAUCGGUAGCUGGUCUGAGAGGACGAUCAGCCACACUGGGAUUGAGAAC